GGAGUUUGGGCCGUGUCUCAGUCCCAAUGUGGCCGUUCAACCUCUCAGUCCGGCUACUGAUCGUCGACUUGGUGGGCCGUUACCUCACCAACUAUCUAAUCAGACGCGAGGCCAUCUUACAGCGGAUUGCUCCUUUGAUAUUAAGAGGAUGUCCUCUCAAUAUGUUAUGCGGUAUUAGCAGUCGUUUCCAACUGUUGUCCCCCUCUGUAAGGCAGGUUCCUCACGCGUUACUCACCCGUCCGCCACUAAGUAUUACAAGAAAUUCCUGUAGCAAGCUACUCUCGUUUCAGCGCAAUACUCCGUUCGACUUGCAUGUGUUAGGCACGCCGCCAGCGUCGUCCUCGAGCACUGAUCAACUACU
RNAcentral lists this ribosomal RNA (361 nucleotides) under uncultured Oscillospiraceae bacterium. RNAcentral's name for it is "partial 16S ribosomal RNA". The record is from RNAcentral. Lineage: Bacteria; Bacillati; Bacillota; Clostridia; Eubacteriales; Oscillospiraceae.